CGACGAACCGUCCAAACGUUAUUCGGAAUCACUGGGCUUAAAGGGUGCGUAGGCGGCACGGCAAGUUGGGUGUGAAAGCCCUCGGCUCAACCGAGGAAUUGCGCCCAAAACUGCCGCGCUCGAGGGAGACAGAGGUGAGCGGAACUUAGGGUGGAGCGGUGGAAUGCGUUGAUAUCCUAAGGAACACCGGUGGCGAAAGCGGCUCACUGGGUCUCUUCUGACGCUGAGGCACGAAAGCUAGGGGAGCGAACGGGAUUAGAAACCCUAGUAGUCC
RNAcentral lists this ribosomal RNA (274 nucleotides) under uncultured bacterium. RNAcentral describes it as "partial 16S ribosomal RNA". It matches the Rfam family "Bacterial small subunit ribosomal RNA", at positions 523 to 796 of the family's 1533-position model. The record is from RNAcentral.